GAUGAACGCUAGCGGGAGGCCUAACACAUGCAAGCCGAGCGGUAGAGUUUCUUCGGAAACUUGAGAGCGGCGGACGGGUGGGUAAGACGUGUGCAACCAACCUGUAUCUGGGGGAUAGCCAUUCGAAAGGAAGAUGAAUACACAAUAAUAUAAUGAUUGGCAUCAAUGAUUAUUGAAAACUACGGUGGAUAGAGAUGGGCACGCGCAAGAUUAGAUAGUUGGUGAGGGAACGGCUCACCAAGUCAAUGAUCUUUAGGGGUCCUGAGAGGGAGAUCCCCCACACUGGUACUGCGACACGGACCAUACUCCUACGCCCGGCAGCAGUCAGGAAUCUUGGACCAUGGGUGAUAGCCUGAUCCAGCCAUCCCGCGUGAAGGAUGACGGUCCUAUGGAUUGUAAACUUCUUUUGUACAGGGCUAAACCUACCCUCGUGAGGGUAGCUGCAGUUACUGUACGAAUAAGCACCGCCUAACUCCGU
Molecule: ribosomal RNA, 478 nt
Filed under: uncultured bacterium
Lineage: Bacteria
Description: partial 16S ribosomal RNA
Rfam family: Bacterial small subunit ribosomal RNA
Source: RNAcentral